RNAcentral lists this microRNA (25 nucleotides) under Caenorhabditis elegans. Its description in RNAcentral is "cel-miR-797-5p". Its record names the gene cel-miR-797-5p. Lineage: Eukaryota; Metazoa; Nematoda; Chromadorea; Rhabditida; Rhabditidae. The record is from miRBase by way of RNAcentral.
UAUCACAGCAAUCACAAUGAGAAGA